This 630-nucleotide ribosomal RNA is filed under the name Bacillus sp. enrichment culture clone 3PR14. Its description in RNAcentral is "bacterial SSU rRNA". It matches the Rfam family "Bacterial small subunit ribosomal RNA", at positions 238 to 858 of the family's 1533-position model. Lineage: Bacteria; Bacillati; Bacillota; Bacilli; Caryophanales; Bacillaceae. The record is from RNAcentral.
GCAUUAGCUAGUUGGUGAGGUAACGGCUCACCAAGGCAACGAUGCGUAGCCGACCUGAGAGGGUGAUCGGCCACACUGGGACUGAGACACGGCCCAGACUCCUACGGGAGGCAGCAGUAGGGAAUCUUCCGCAAUGGACGAAAGUCUGACGGAGCAACGCCGCGUGAGUGAUGAAGGUUUUCGGAUCGUAAAACUCUGUUGUUAGGGAAGAACAAGUACCGUUCGAAUAGGGCGGUACCUUGACGGUACCUAACCAGAAAGCCACGGCUAACUACGUGCCAGCAGCCGCGGUAAUACGUAGGUGGCAAGCGUUGUCCGGAAUUAUUGGGCGUAAAGCGCGCGCAGGCGGUUUCUUAAGUCUGAUGUGAAAGCCCCCGGCUCAACCGGGGAGGGUCAUUGGAAACUGGGGAACUUGAGUGCAGAAGAGGAGAGUGGAAUUCCACGUGUAGCGGUGAAAUGCGUAGAGAUGUGGAGGAACACCAGUGGCGAAGGCGACUCUCUGGUCUGUAACUGACGCUGAGGCGCGAAAGCGUGGGGAGCGAACAGGAUUAGAUACCCUGGUAGUCCACGCCGUAAACGAUGAGUGCUAAGUGUUAGAGGGUUUCCGCCCUUUAGUGCUGCAGCAAACGC